AUGCGGAAAUCGAUUUUUGGCAAAGUCACAGUAGUCGAGUUAAGUUUCGGGGAAACGAGCUGCUAUUUUGCACAGAAAGAUUUUGUUCUCUGAGAGUUUAUCACGAUGCAGAAUCUUGGGAUUCUCAUGAUGAUCCACUAAGUUUGGUAAUGCGAUUUCUGCAAGUUUAUUGUUGCCAGGUGAAAGCCGAGUUUCUCGCGAACAGAGGGUGACGUGUAUACGAGUGAAGCAGCUCGAUGACUUUUCCAGAUAAACUAUGCUCGAAAGACAACGCGGGAUUGAAAUUCCUUCCUAUACCAAGAAAAAUUAAAAUUGAUAUGCAGCAUGGAACUGACCGGAGAGGUAUAACAACGCGAAAACUAAUAGGAUUCUUUGAGGGUCGAGAAAAGAAAACACAUUUGUAAACAAGAUGAGAGCCUCUAAGACGAGAAGAGAGGUGCAUAGGCCUCGAGCUAGACCGGAGAAGAAAGACAGAAACUACAAUAUCGUAAUCAGUGUAAGAGAGAACAAAACCAGUAUAUAUACGUAUAAUAUAUAUUAACGCAGAAUCAUAAGGAAAUGCAAGAAAGUAAGACAAGAAGAGGGUUGAAAAAUAGAGAAAGAGAGUGAUGAGAGAAAUGAAAGAAAAGCGAAAUGAAAAAUGAAAAGAGAAAAAGCGGGAAAUAAAUGAAGGAGAAGAAUAGAAGGAAGAUCGGUAUAAAGGAAAACAGAAAUGGGUGAAACGCAAUGAAAAUAAAAGAGAAGGAAAGAGAAAGUGAGCGAGAAGAGAAGAGUGGUAGAAAAACAAGAAAGGGAGGAAACCGCCUAAAGCUAGGUACGGCAUUCCAGGACCCGACCUCCUCUUCAUCCCUUUGCCAGGAUCAGGGUCAACAUCAGGAUUGUUCAAUGGAUAAGCGGGUUUCUAAGCAUCCCCUCGCUGCAUCGACACGUACAAACACUGUGAUGCGGGUCGAAUUGCAUUUCUUCGAUUAUCGGAAAAGUGAUGGGGGAGAGAAACGAUAUAUAAACGAUAAUAGACAGUUUUUCCAUGAAUAGGUGGGAUUUUGUGUUCGUGUCAUGAGGAUAUUUCUAUGUAAAAUCUUUAUUGAACGAGAAUAAAUUUGUAUUAUUAAAUAAUUCAAUCUUUAUAUAUAUAUUAUAGAAUAAAAUAUUAUUUAAACAAUAAAAACUUUUAUAGCAGAAUAAA
Long non-coding RNA from Apis cerana (Asiatic honeybee), 1186 nucleotides. RefSeq lists it as uncharacterized. Lineage: Eukaryota; Metazoa; Arthropoda; Insecta; Hymenoptera; Apidae. The record is from RefSeq and is a predicted model, not a curated record.